AGGUCGGAAGAGGCGCGGUGGGACGUGUCUCAAGAAUUGACCGGAUGCUUCCGCUCUUAUGGGCGCACACCACGGCCCCGGUGGUUGGUGCG
This is a non-coding RNA of Sulfitobacter mediterraneus, 92 nucleotides long. NCBI's taxonomy places the organism in Bacteria, Pseudomonadati, Pseudomonadota, Alphaproteobacteria, Rhodobacterales, Roseobacteraceae. The record is from Rfam.